This is a small nuclear RNA of Mastomys coucha (southern multimammate mouse), 103 nucleotides long. The record is from RefSeq and is a predicted model, not a curated record. Lineage: Eukaryota; Metazoa; Chordata; Mammalia; Rodentia; Muridae.
UUGCUUUGGCAGCACAUAUACUAAAAUCAGAACAAUACAGAGAAAAAUGGCAUAGCCCCUGAGCAAGGAUGACAUGCAAAUUUGGGAAGCCUUCCACUUGUUU